Molecule: ribosomal RNA, 496 nt
Filed under: uncultured bacterium
Lineage: Bacteria
Description: partial 16S ribosomal RNA
Rfam family: Bacterial small subunit ribosomal RNA
Source: RNAcentral
AUGAACGCUGGCGGCGUGCCUAAUACAUGCAAGUCGAGCGCACGGACGAGAAGCUUGCUUUUCUGAUGUUAGCGGCGGACGGGUGAGUAACACGUGGAUAACCUACCUAUAAGACUGGGAUAACUUCGGGAAACCGGAGCUAAUACCGGAUAAUAUUUUGAACCGCAUGGUUCAAAAGUGAAAGACGGUCUUGCUGUCACUUAUAGAUGGAUCCGCGCUGCAUUAGCUAGUUGGUAAGGUAACGGCUUACCAAGGCAACGAUGCAUAGCCGACCUGAGAGGGUGAGCGGCCACACUGGAACUGAGACACGGUCCAGACUCCUACGGGAGGCAGCAGUAGGGAAUCUUCCGCAAUGGGCGAAAGCCUGACGGAGCAACGCCGCGUGAGUGAUGAAGGUCUUCGGAUCGUAAAACUCUGUUAUUAGGGAAGAACAUAUGUGUAAGUAACUGUGCACAUCUUGACGGUACCUAAUCAGAAAGCCACGGCUAACUACGUG